CAAUCUCUAAAUUUCUCUCAUCCAUAUCACCUGCCAUUAAUCACAAACGGUGAUUUCAAGUUUAUGAUGUCUCAUCACUGUUGGAAAAGGAACGCUGAGAAAUAUCACGUUUCGUGUCUCUCAUCCUCGUUUUCAAUUCAUAAAAGAGAAGAAAGCAUAAACGGUAUAGUCGAUUUACUGGUCUUCUUUUGGCAAAACGUCAUGGUCUACUGCUCAAAGCUUUUGUCACCGAGUUGCUCUAAAAUGCUGUUGUCUAUGUAGAUCCGAAUUUCGGCUUAGAUUCAGGUUUUUUGUUCGACGGUGGAGUCAUCGGAAAUUAGAGUUUGUUCUUAAACAAAGAUGACGGACAUUGGAGCUGAGCAACUUAUUUUUGUGUUGAUAUAUUUCAAUGUAUUUUCAACAUAUCAUGCUGUAUUUUUAUGUAUUUCAUUGUAUUCAUUGUAUUCUUUUUCAUUGUAAUUCAAUGUAUCUCACUGAAAUGCAUGUAUUUCAUUGUACUCUCCGUUUAUGUUUAUCGUAUUUCAAUGUAUAACGCUAUAUUAUGUGUAUUUCAUUGUAUUCACUGUCUU
RNAcentral lists this long non-coding RNA (569 nucleotides) under Nicotiana benthamiana. RNAcentral's name for it is "long non-coding RNA (NBEN_LNC007108)". The record is from RNAcentral. Lineage: Eukaryota; Viridiplantae; Streptophyta; Magnoliopsida; Solanales; Solanaceae.